This 69-nucleotide transfer RNA is filed under the name Rhipicephalus microplus (southern cattle tick). RNAcentral's name for it is "tRNA-Lys". Lineage: Eukaryota; Metazoa; Arthropoda; Arachnida; Ixodida; Ixodidae. The record is from RNAcentral.
CAUUGAAUGGCUGAUAAAAGUGAUGGUCUCUUAAACCAAUUUAUAGUUAAUGUUAACUUUCAAUGAGAA